CACGUAGUUAGCCGGGGCUUCUUAGUCAGGUACCGUCUUGUCUCGUUCCUGCUGAUAGAGCUUUACAUACCGAAAUACUUCUUCACUCACGCGGCGUCGCUGCAUCAGGGUUUCCCCCAUUGUGCAAUAUUCCCCACUGCUGCCUCCCGUAGGAGUUUGGGCCGUGUCUCAGUCCCAAUGUGGCCGUCCACCCUCUCAGGCCGGCUACUGAUCGUCGCUUUGGUAGGCCGUUACCCUGCCAACUGGCUAAUCAGACGCGGGUCCAUCCCAUACCACCGGAGUUUUUCACACAGGAGCAUGCGCUCCCGUGCGCUUAUGCGGUAUUAGCACCUGUUUCCAGGUGGUAUCCCCCGGUAUGGGGCAGGUUACCCACGCGUUACUCACCCGUCCGCCACUAAGAUACUCAUUUCCAAAGUGCAAGCACUCCUUCCAUAAGCAUCCCCGUUCGACUUGCAUGUGUUAAGCACGCCGCCAGCGUUCAUCCUGAGCCAGGAUCAAACUCU
RNAcentral lists this ribosomal RNA (503 nucleotides) under uncultured Lachnospiraceae bacterium. RNAcentral describes it as "partial 16S ribosomal RNA". Lineage: Bacteria; Bacillati; Bacillota; Clostridia; Lachnospirales; Lachnospiraceae. The record is from RNAcentral.